Molecule: ribosomal RNA, 492 nt
Filed under: uncultured bacterium
Lineage: Bacteria
Description: partial 16S ribosomal RNA
Rfam family: Bacterial small subunit ribosomal RNA
Source: RNAcentral
GAUGAACGCUAGCUACAGGCUUAACACAUGCAAGUCGAGGGGAAACGGCAUCGAAAUCUUGCUUUUGAUGGGCGUCGACCGGCGCACGGGUGAGUAACGCGUAUCCCACCUGCCCAUGACUUGGGAAUAACCUUGCGAAAGUAACACUAAUGCACCAUGACAUCCCACGAAGGCAUCCGAAUGGGUUUAAAGAUUUAUCGGUGAUGGAUGGGGAUGCGUCGGAUUAGCUUGUUGUCGGGGUGACGGCCCACCAAGGCAACGAUCAGUAGGGGUUCUGAGAGUAACGGCCCUGAGAGGGGAACCGGCAAACGGUGCAAACAGAUACGGGAGGGAGUAGUGAGGAAGACAGGAGAAGGGGCUAGAGCCUGAACCAGCCAAGUAGCGUGCAGGAUGACCGCCCUAUGGGUGAUAAACUGCUUUUAGAAGGGAACAAAGUGGGUCACGGGUGACUUUUUGCAGGUACCUGAUGAAUAAGGACCGGCUAAUUCCGUG